AUAUAUAUGGGUUUACAAACCUCCUCUUGUAAGUUAGCUUUUGAGGUGGAGUCAGGCAGCUCAUAUCACAAACACGUUAAUGUCAUGCAAUGAAUACAAUAACAAUAUUCUCAUACAAGGCAAUUUGCACCAAUAAGCCAAAAGGAGGGAGUGAAAGAUAAAACUAAACCAAGUUGUAGAGAUCUGACCUUGGAAGAAGACUUUGCACUG
This 210-nucleotide unclassified non-coding RNA is filed under the name Hevea brasiliensis (rubber tree). The record is from RNAcentral. Lineage: Eukaryota; Viridiplantae; Streptophyta; Magnoliopsida; Malpighiales; Euphorbiaceae.